Molecule: ribosomal RNA, 933 nt
Filed under: uncultured bacterium
Lineage: Bacteria
Description: bacterial SSU rRNA
Rfam family: Bacterial small subunit ribosomal RNA
Source: RNAcentral
UAUCAUGCAAGUAGAACGCUGAAGAGAGGAGCUUGCUCUUCUUGGAUGAGUUGCGAACGGGUGAGUAACGCGUAGGUAACCUGCCUUGUAGCGGGGGAUAACUAUUGGAAACGAUAGCUAAUACCGCAUAACAAUGGAUGACACAUGUCAUUUAUUUGAAAGGGGCAAUUGCUCCACUACAAGAUGGACCUGCGUUGUAUUAGCUAGUAGGUGAGGUAACGGCUCACCUAGGCGACGAUACAUAGCCGACCUGAGAGGGUGAUCGGCCACACUGGGACUGAGACACGGCCCAGACUCCUACGGGAGGCAGCAGUAGGGAAUCUUCGGCAAUGGGGGCAACCCUGACCGAGCAACGCCGCGUGAGUGAAGAAGGUUUUCGGAUCGUAAAGCUCUGUUGUAAGUCAAGAACGAGUGUGAGAGUGGAAAAUUCACACUGUGACGGUAGCUUACCAGAAAGGGACGGCUAACUACGUGCCAGCAGCCGCGGUAAUACGUAGGUCCCGAGCGUUGUCCGGAUUUAUUGGGCGUAAAGCGAGCGCAGGCGGUUUGAUAAGUCUGAAGUUAAAGGCUGUGGCUCAACCAUAGUUCGCUUUGGAAACUGUCAAACUUGAGUGCAGAAGGGGAGAGUGGAAUUCCAUGUGUAGCGGUGAAAUGCGUAGAUAUAUGGAGGAACACCGGUGGCGAAAGCGGCUCUCUGGUCUGUAACUGACGCUGAGGCUCGAAAGCGUGGGGAGCGAACAGGAUUAGAUACCCUGGUAGUCCACGCCGUAAACGAUGAGUGCUAGGUGUUGGAUCCUUUCCGGGAUUCAGUGCCGCAGCUAACGCAUUAAGCACUCCGCCUGGGGAGUACGACCGCAAGGUUGAAACUCAAAGGAAUUGACGGGGGCCCGCACAAGCGGUGGAGCAUGUGGUUUAAUUCGAAGCAACGCGAAA